RNAcentral lists this ribosomal RNA (492 nucleotides) under uncultured bacterium. Its description in RNAcentral is "partial 16S ribosomal RNA". It matches the Rfam family "Bacterial small subunit ribosomal RNA", at positions 29 to 507 of the family's 1533-position model. The record is from RNAcentral.
AGUGAACGCUGGCGGUAGGCCUAACACAUGCAAGUCGAACGGCAGCACAGUAAGAGCUUGCUCUUACGGGUGGCGAGUGGCGGACGGGUGAGGAAUACAUCGGAAUCUACUUUUUCGUGGGGGAUAACGUAGGGAAACUUACGCUAAUACCGCAUACGACCUACGGGUGAAAGCAGGGGAUCUUCGGACCUUGCGCGAGUGAAUGAGCCGAUGUCGGAUUAGCUAGUUGGCGGGGUAAAGGCCCACCAAGGCGACGAUCCGUAGCUGGUCUGAGAGGAUGAUCAGCCACACUGGAACUGAGACACGGUCCAGACUCCUAAGGGAGGCAGCAGUGGGGAAUAUUGGACAAUGGGCGCAAGCCUGAUCCAGCCAUACCGCGUGGGUGAAGAAGGACUUCGGGUUGUAAAGCCCUUUUGUUGGGAAAGAAAAGCAGCAGGUUAAUACCCCGCUGUUCUGACGGUACCCAAAGAAUAAGCACCGGCUAACUUCGUG